AGAAUCAACGCUGGCGGCGUGCCUAACACAUGCAAGUCGCACGAGAAAGGGACUUCGGUCCUAAGUACAGUGGCGCACGGGUGAGUAACACGUGAAUUAUCUACCUCCGAGUGGGGAAUAACUGAGAGAAAUCUUAGCUAAUACCGCAUAACACUUACGAGUCAAAGCAGCAAUGCGCUUGGAGAGGAGUUCGCGGCAGAUUAGUUAGUUGGCGGGGUAAUGGCCCACCAAGACGAUGAUCUGUAUCCGGCCUGAGAGGGCGCACGGACACACUGGAACUGAAACACGGUCCAGACUCCUACGGAGGCAGCAGUGGGGAAUUUUGCGCAAUGGGGAAACCCUGACGCAGCAACGCCGCGUGGAGGAUGAAAUAUCUUGGUAUGUAAACUCCUUUCGAUGGGGAAGAUAAUGACGGUACCAUAGAAGAAGCCCCGGCUAACUUCGCGCCAGCAGCCGC
RNAcentral lists this ribosomal RNA (457 nucleotides) under uncultured bacterium. RNAcentral describes it as "SSU rRNA". It matches the Rfam family "Bacterial small subunit ribosomal RNA", at positions 26 to 518 of the family's 1533-position model. The record is from RNAcentral.